AUUGCAAUAUUAUUUAAUAAUCCAUCAUUUAUUUUUAUAAGAUUUUCACACAAUAAGCAGGAUGUAUCUGAUAAAUAAGUGUUUUGACAAAUUAAGUUAUUUCCUAGUUUUCAUGAUUGCUGCCAAGUUCGCUCUAAAUUCCAUCUGCCACUCUAGGAUAUUGUACCUUUACAGCCACAUCUUGACCAUCUUUGUUCUUUCUCCAAUGUACUUGACCAAUGGAGACGGCAGCAAAGGGGCGGUUAUCGAAUUCAGCGAAAUUCUCACGCCAGGGGUCCAUAUCGUUCGCUUAAAUCUCGACUUCAAACGAAUAAAUGCGAAGGCAUCCGAAAGCCGACCGCGCCAUGCCUCCGGGCGUUCAGCGGCUCGAGGGAUUUGGACCGGGGCUGUCGACUAAAAACUGCGUCUCCAGUAUAGCAAACCGUAGAAUAUACAAAUUUAUCUUGGUAACUCUGGUGGAAAUGAGACUUAUAGUCAUCUUCGAGUACAUAACAAAAAUUAAGUAUUGUUUAUGUCAACAAAGGAAGAAUCUUCGUUAAAUUGAUGACACGGUUUAUGAAGUUUUUUAAAUAAUAAUAAUAAUUUUAAUAAAGAGAUAUUGAACUGGAAUACUUUUAAAACAUUAUCUACAAACUGUGAUAUUUUAUAAAUAAAUUUGUCUUUAUAAUA
Long non-coding RNA from Aethina tumida (small hive beetle), 669 nucleotides. RefSeq lists it as uncharacterized. NCBI's taxonomy places the organism in Eukaryota, Metazoa, Arthropoda, Insecta, Coleoptera, Nitidulidae. The record is from RefSeq and is a predicted model, not a curated record. The transcript has 2 exons.